This 327-nucleotide ribosomal RNA is filed under the name uncultured bacterium. Its description in RNAcentral is "bacterial SSU rRNA". It matches the Rfam family "Bacterial small subunit ribosomal RNA", at positions 1 to 353 of the family's 1533-position model. The record is from RNAcentral.
UAGAGUUUGAUCAUGGCUCAGGAUGAACGCUGGCGGCGUGCCUAAUACAUGCAAGUCGAGCGAACCACUUCGGUGGUGAGCGGCGAACGGGUGAGUAACACGUAGGUGAUCUGCCCAUCAGACGGGGACAACGAUUGGAAACGAUCGCUAAUACCGGAUAGGACGAAAGUUUAAAGGUGCUUCUGGCACCGCUGAUGGAUGAGCCUGCGGCGCAUUAGCUAGUUGGUAGGGUAAAGGCCUACCAAGGCGACGAUGCGUAGCCGACCUGAGAGGGUGAACGGCCACACUGGGACUGAGACACGGCCCAGACUCCUACGGGACGCAGCA